GGGUGUAGCCAUACCAUGCUGAUCAUACCCCACCUCAUCUGAUCUAGGAAGCCAAGAGAGGUCAGGGUGGCUAGUGUUUGGAUGGAAGACAGGGAAAGAGUGGUCCCACAUUCC
Cricetulus griseus (Chinese hamster) is the source of this 114-nucleotide ribosomal RNA. Lineage: Eukaryota; Metazoa; Chordata; Mammalia; Rodentia; Cricetidae. The record is from Ensembl.